Molecule: long non-coding RNA, 1403 nt
Organism: Clupea harengus (Atlantic herring)
Lineage: Eukaryota; Metazoa; Chordata; Actinopteri; Clupeiformes; Clupeidae
Source: Ensembl
GGCAUUUAAUUACAGAAUGUAUUACACAUUACAAACAGAGAGACAGAUUUAAACUAGUGUGUGUGUGUGUGGGCAUUUAAUUACAGAAUGUAUUACACAUUACAAACAGAGAGACAGAUUUAAACUAGUGUGUGUGUGUGUGUGUGGGCAUUUAAUUACAAAUGUAUUACACAUUACAAACAGAGAGACAUAUUUAAACUAGUGUUUCCCAACUUCCUGUUCCAACUGGCCAAUCAGCUUUGCUCCAUGCAACAAUAUGGUUUUCUGCCAAGAAAGGAGAUCUGAGAUCAGAGCGCAUACACGCACUAUACACGCACACACACGUGCACACACACACUAUAAACGCGCACACACGUGCACACACACACUAUAAACGCGCACACACACACUAAGAGAUACACACACACAAGUGUAUAUAUAUAUGUGCAUCCAGGUAAUUUCAUCAGCAAUCAUGAGUGUGUGUAAGAGAGAGUGUGUGUGUAUAUGUGUGUGUGUGUUUGUGUAAUAGUGUGUGUGUGUGUGUGUGUGUGUAUGUGUAAGAGAGUGUGUGUGCGUGCGUGUGUGUAUGUGUAAGAGAGUGUGUGUGCGUGCGUGUGUGUGUGUGAGCCUCAGACAGAUAUUUCUAAUCACAUGCUGCUAUUGCAGCUCAUACGAGGUGUCAGAAAAGUAAAGUCAUCAACAGCUCUGUGUGUGUGUGUGUGUGUGUGUGUGUGUGUGUGUGUGUGUGUGUGUGUGUGUGUGUAAUAGUGUGUGAGUGUGUAAGAGAGAGAGUGUGUGUUAGAUUUUAGAUUUUUUUUUAAAAGUUACUGAGAACUAGACACAAUGUAGAAACCCCGUUAAAAAAAACACAUCUGAGGGGAUUUGCGUCGUGUCUGAGCCAGCUAUCUAAUGUUAGCAUGCUACUAACCUACAAGGUAAACAGCAUGGGUUGGACCAAUCACAGCCCUUCGGUCUCCGUGGGUUGGACCAAUCACAGCCCUUCGGUCUCCGUGGGUUGGACCAAUCACAGCCCUUCGGUCCCCGUGGGUUGGACCAAUCACAGCCCUUCGGUCCCCGUGGGUUGGACCAAUCACAGCCCUUCGGUCCCCGUGGGUUGGACCAAUCACAGCCCUUCGGUCUCCGUGGGCCCUCCUUCAUUUCGACGGAUGGGAUGCGCACGUCAGGCCACGGAGAGGUGAUCGGAGUGAUCGGCUGUUGAACAAACACACACACACACACACACAGUUAGCAAAGCCACACACACAUUAACAGUUAGCGUGUGUGUAUGUGUAACAGAGUGUGUGUGUGUGUGUGUGUGUGUAAUAGUGGGAGUGUGUGAGUGGGAGUGUGAGUGUGUGAGUGUGUGAGCCUCAGACAGAUAUUUCUAAUCACAUGCUGCGUCCGCAGCUCAUACGAGGUGUCAG